CACGUAGGGCGCAAGCGUUGUCCGGAAUUAUUGGGCGUAAAGAGCUCGUAGGCGGUCUGUUACGUCUGCUGUGAAAACCCAGGGCUUAACCCUGGGCUUGCAGUGGAUACGGGCAGACUAGAGGCAGGUAGGGGAGAAUGGAAUUCCCGGUGUAGCGGUGAAAUGCGCAGAUAUCGGGAAGAACACCGGUGGCGAAGGCGGUUCUCUGGGCCUGACCUGACGCUGAGGAGCGAAAGCGUGGGGAGCGAACAGG
RNAcentral lists this ribosomal RNA (253 nucleotides) under uncultured bacterium. RNAcentral describes it as "partial 16S ribosomal RNA". It matches the Rfam family "Bacterial small subunit ribosomal RNA", at positions 524 to 776 of the family's 1533-position model. The record is from RNAcentral.